UCCUAUGUCUUUAUGAUUCUUCUUCAGGACGAACGUAGGCGGCGGGCCCUAUUCAUGCAAGUGGAGCGGACAGAAGGGAGUCUGCUCCCGGACGUUACCUGCGGACGGUUGAGUAACACGUGGGUAACUUGCUUGUACGACUCGGAUACCUCUGUGAAUCCGGAGCUAAUACCGGAUAGUUCCUUGAACCGCAUGGUUCAAGGAUGAAAGACGGUUUCGGCUGUCACUUACAGAUGGACCCGCGGCGCAUUAGCUAGUUGGUGGGGUAAUGGCUCACCAAGGCGACGAUGCGUAGCCGACCUGAGAGGGUGAUCGGCCACACUGGGACUGAGACACGGCCCAGACUCCUACGGGAGGCAGCAGUAGGGAAUCUUCCGCAAUGGACGAAAGUCUGACGGAGCAACGCCGCGUGAGUGAUGAAGGUUUUCGGAUCGUAAAGCUCUGUUGUUAGGGAAGAACAAGUGCGAGAGUAACUGCUCGCACCUUGACGGUACCUAACCAGAAAGCCACGGCUAACUACGUGCCAGCAGCCGCGGUAAUACGUAGGUGGCAAGCGUUGUCCGGAAUUAUUGGGCGUAAAGGGCUCGCAGGCGGUUUCUUAAGUCUGAUGUGAAAGCCCCCGGCUCAACCGGGGAGGGUCAUUGGAAACUGGGAAACUUGAGUGCAGAAGAGGAGAGUGGAAUUCCACGUGUAGCGGUGAAAUGCGUAGAGAUGUGGAGGAACACCAGUGGCGAAGGCGACUCUCUGGUCUGUAACUGACGCUGAGAGCGAAAGCGUGGAGGACAGUGGGAGAUCUUCUAUUGC
Molecule: ribosomal RNA, 804 nt
Filed under: Bacillus zhangzhouensis
Lineage: Bacteria; Bacillati; Bacillota; Bacilli; Caryophanales; Bacillaceae
Description: bacterial SSU rRNA
Rfam family: Bacterial small subunit ribosomal RNA
Source: RNAcentral